ACUCAAAUGAAUAGACGGGGGCCCGCACAAGCAGCGGAGCGUGUGGUUUAAUUCGAGGCUACACGAAGAACCUUACCUGGGCUUGACAUGGCGGUGGUAGGGAACCGAAAGGGGACCGACCUUCGGGAGCCGUCACAGGUGCUGCAUGGCUGUCGUCAGCUCGUGUCGUGAGAUGUUCGGUUAAGUCCGGUAACGAGCGCAACCCUCGGGUCUAGUUACAAGUGUCUAGACCGACUGCCCGUGCAAAGCGGGAGGAAGGUGGGGAUGACGUCAAGUCAGCAUGGCCUUGAUGUCCAGGGCUACACACACGCUACAAUGGCCGGUCUAAUGGGUCGCCAACCCGCGAGGGGGAGCCAAUCCAGGCAAAACCGGUCUCAGUUCGGAUUGCAGGCUGCAACCCGCCUGCAUGAAGUCGGAGUUGCUAGUAAACGCCGGUCAGCCAUACGGCGUUGAAUACGUUCCCGGGCCUUGUACACACCGCCCGU
Molecule: ribosomal RNA, 485 nt
Filed under: uncultured bacterium
Lineage: Bacteria
Description: bacterial SSU rRNA
Rfam family: Bacterial small subunit ribosomal RNA
Source: RNAcentral